RNAcentral lists this ribosomal RNA (411 nucleotides) under uncultured bacterium. RNAcentral's name for it is "bacterial SSU rRNA". It matches the Rfam family "Bacterial small subunit ribosomal RNA", at positions 505 to 918 of the family's 1533-position model. The record is from RNAcentral.
GUGUCAGCAGCCGCGGUAAUACGAAGGGACCUAGCGUAGUUCGGAAUUACUGGGCUUAAAGAGUUCGUAGGUGGUUGAAAAAGUUAGUGGUGAAAUCCCAGAGCUUAACUCUGGAACUGCCAUUAAAACUUUUCAGCUAGAGUAUGAUAGAGGAAAGCAGAAUUUCUAGUGUAGAGGUGAAAUUCGUAGAUAUUAGAAAGAAUACCAAUUGCGAAGGCAGCUUUCUGGAUCAUUACUGACACUGAGGAACGAAAGCAUGGGUAGCGAAGAGGAUUAGAUACCCUCGUAGUCCAUGCCGUAAACGAUGUGUGUUAGACGUUGGAAAUUUAUUUUCAGUGUCGCAGGGAAACCGAUAAACACACCGCCUGGGGAGUACGACCGCAAGGUUAAAACUUAAAUGAAUUGACGGGG